This 215-nucleotide ribosomal RNA is filed under the name uncultured fungus. Its description in RNAcentral is "partial small subunit ribosomal RNA". The stretch from base 87 to 215 matches the Rfam family "Eukaryotic small subunit ribosomal RNA", at positions 733 to 864 of the family's 1831-position model. The record is from RNAcentral. Lineage: Eukaryota; Fungi.
GCUCUGGCUGGGCGGUCCACCAAUUGGCUGGUACUGCCUCGGCUGGGGCUCACCUUCUGGUGAUCCGUGAUGCCCUUAAUUGGGUGUUGCGAGGAGCCAGGACUUUUACCUUGAAAAAAUUAGAGUGUUUAAAGCAGGCCCACGCUUGAAUACAUUAGCAUGGAAUAAUAAGAUAGGACGUUGGUUCUAUUUUGUUGGUUUUCAGGACCAAUGUC